This 1458-nucleotide long non-coding RNA is filed under the name Felis catus (domestic cat). Its description in RNAcentral is "lncRNA (ENSFCAG00000049113.1)". Lineage: Eukaryota; Metazoa; Chordata; Mammalia; Carnivora; Felidae. The record is from RNAcentral.
AUGCUUAGGAAAGCUGGACUCGGAGCUCAAAGGGGCAAGGUGAAUAUCCUGACCUCCCUCCCUCCUCUGGCCCAGACGCUUGGAGCGGAUGCAUGUUACGGGCCAAGGAGAAGGUGGACCACAGAGAGCCUCUGCUGGGUCCACUGCCGGAGCCCUGGGUCAAUGCUGCUUCUCCAUGGGCCCCACGCGUCCCCCGGGGGCACGGGCCCUGUGGCAGGGGACAACGGCACCACCUGUCCACCCAGAGCCGUCGUCCAAGCGGAGACACCAAGUCCCAUCACGUGGUUAGCUACCAUGUCAUCAUGUCUUCAGAGCUGGGGCCCUGAUGAGAAGGCUGGCUUUCGGAGCCCAACUCCCGUGCUCUGUGUGACACCUUUGCCCUGGCUACCUGCAGACCCAAGGAACUGAUGCUCAGAGCGCAGCAGCAUCUCGGGUUAGGAGUUUUUGUGACUAGCAACAGAAACGGAAACUAGUUAAUUAAAGCCGAAAAGGAAUUUAUUAAAAGGAUCAGGGCGCUCACAGACCUCCAGGAGGUCUCAGAGUCGGGCGUGGAGGCCGCUUUGCUGUGAGCCGUGCCCCAGUUCACACCGGCUGGAAGACGCUGCGGCCCCCACCCCGGGGCACUGACAGAUCUGUCCACCCCACUGGCCUCUCCGGUCCCUAACACUGGGGCUCUGGACACUGGACACAGGGGCUCUGCCGCGGCCACUCCUGGCGGACCGGACCGGUCCCGUGAGGUCUCUGCUCCUUUGCCUACUGGCUCUGAAUCCAAGCUAGAGCCACGAGCCCCCGUCUGGCUGGUUGGGAGGCGUGAGGGUGAGAAGCCGGCACUUCCGGCCUGUCUGGCGGGAGGUCUAGGGGCAGAUUUCCGAGUCCCCAAACACAGAAGGGGCCCAGGGGCACGACGGCCACAGUUGACAGCCGUGGUCACAGCAAGAAGCUGGGGUGUGCCCACUUGAGACAGUAACAAAAUAAUCCUACCUUCCUAAAAUGCAAUUUGGGUCACGUCAACUUUCAGCGCAUCCUAUCUAGUGGCCAAACAGUCCGGUCACCUGCUCAGGGCUCGGCGGUCAGCUCCGGGCUGUCUGACCAGGCUAGCUCUCAGCACAGCCCCCACCCUGUCUCCACUUGCCUACCACAGGCCACUUACUCGCCCCACCUCACCCACUGGGUUUCUUUUUUCUUUUUUUUUUUUUUUUUUUUAGGUAAAGUGUGCAUACGGCAAAACGCACUAGUCUGAAAUGAUAUGAUUUGAUGGGUGCUGACAAGUACACACACCUGUGAAAGCCAGACCUUUAUCAAGAUCUAGACCUUUCUAUCACCUGGCUCAUUCUCUCGUGCCCCCUCCCUGGUCAAUCCCUGGAAACAACUGCUGAUUUGCUUUCUGUCACUACAGAUUUGUGUGUUCUAGAAUUCCACGUCCACGGAAUAAAACAGUACAUCCUUUUAUCGUGUCCA